RNAcentral lists this long non-coding RNA (211 nucleotides) under Mytilus galloprovincialis (Mediterranean mussel). The record is from RNAcentral. Lineage: Eukaryota; Metazoa; Mollusca; Bivalvia; Mytilida; Mytilidae.
GGUCCCUUCAGGUCUUUUCUUUUCUCCGUUCAAGUCCAACUUUUGGCAUCAAAAAUUUGUUUUUUAUUUAAAACAUUUAAAUUAUAAUGAAAAAUGGACAUUUACAAUUAAUAAAAUUCCAACUUGAAGAAAUUCGAUCCAAUAAAUAAAAAAGUUAUACAAUUUGAAUAAUUUUAGUCGUAUUCUUUCAGGUCUUUUCAGGUCCACUUUC